Molecule: ribosomal RNA, 440 nt
Filed under: uncultured bacterium
Lineage: Bacteria
Description: partial 16S ribosomal RNA
Rfam family: Bacterial small subunit ribosomal RNA
Source: RNAcentral
CCUACGGGAGGCAGCAGUGGGGAAUAUUGCACAAUGGGGGAAACCCUGAUGCAGCGACGCCGCGUGAGUGAAGAAGUAAUUCGUUAUGUAAAGCUCUAUCAGCAGGGAAGAAAAUGAGGGUACCUGAGUAAAAGGCCCCGGCUACCACCGUGCAAGAAGCCGGGGUAAUACGUAGGGGCCAAGGGUUAUCCGGAUUUACUGGGGGGAAAGGGAGCGUAGACGGCGUUGCAAGUCUGGGGGGAAAGGCGGGGGCUCAACCCCCGGACUGCUCUGGAAACUGUACGGCUGGAGUGCAGGAGGGGUAAGUGGAAUUCAUAGUGUAGCGGUGAAAUGCGUAGAUAUUAGGAGGAACACCAGUGGCGAAGGCGGGUUACUGGACUGUAACUGACGUUGAGGCUCGAAAGCGUGGGGAGCAAACAGGAUUAGAUACCCCUGUAGUC